Long non-coding RNA from Cavia porcellus (domestic guinea pig), 7425 nucleotides. RefSeq lists it as uncharacterized. The transcript is spliced from 3 exons. The record is from RefSeq and is a predicted model, not a curated record. NCBI's taxonomy places the organism in Eukaryota, Metazoa, Chordata, Mammalia, Rodentia, Caviidae.
GUUUUUGCCAACAAGCUUGCUCUCUGCAGUUAUUAGAUUCACGGGGGAACUAUUAUUACCCUGUUUCUGACAACAGAUGGUUCCAUCCAACAUGGUAGCCACAGCCUUUCUUCUCCCAUCGGGCUAUUCGGUGGAGGACACGACUAUUGAAGGCGCUGACAGAGUCCACAAAUCAUUUAAAAAUGGAAAUUCGCAUGAAGAUAUGAUGUAUCUAAAAAACCCGUACCACGCAAAACUUCAAGUUCAACAAACUUUUAAAAUCUAUAACCAGACAAUCCGUUUAGUUUACGCCUUAAUUCCCCCUUUCCACUUUUGGAUUUUAGAUGCGUCUACUGACGGGGCGUGGGGUAAAAGAACGGACGACUCCAAACUGUACAAGAAAUUCGCGGCUAGCGAGAGACGCCGGAUACAACUAGAAAGAGGAUAUCUCCGCUCAAUACAAAAGCGAAGGCAAACGCUUCAUUUACUUAGGCUGUUCCCAGUUGUAACUCGGAUGCGCCCGCCCCCACCCUGACAAUCACUAUGGUUUGGUCCGAGGGAGGCCACCGCCCUACUCGCCGGAAGUGGGUGAGACGAGAGUGGUCACGUGGGUCUGGGCGCCUGCGUUUAGAAAGGCCCCGCGAAAUACUGGGCAAUCUGCCUUCUGUAGCAGGGGAGAUUGUACUUGUGUCUUUUUCAUACUGAGCUAUAGCUCAGCCCUUUUUAAAAAAGUAUUUUGCCAAGUCAGUAAGAUUCCCAGGCGAGGCUCGAAUUUGGACUUCUCCAGCCUUAGCCUUCUAGGGUCCCAAAAUUGUAGACGUGCACCACCAUUCUCGGUUUCUGUUUUGCUGAGCUCAAGAGCAGCUGCUGGUUUGUUUUAAUCGUGCUACAAGGGGCGUUAGGGGAGUUAGUGCGUAGGAGGGAAGCAGAGAUUUUGGCUGGGGAGAUCUGGAGUUCUGGAGGUGGGCUGCAGGACAGUGAAUGGCCUUCAUGGCUCUGCUUAGUGAUUAUCAUUGGGCUGGGAGUAGCUCAGAUACUUUCGGGUGGUAAAAAGCAUGUUGUUGACAAGCGGAGAUCCUGGAAUUCAUCUCCAGCACCAAAAAAUGUAAGGUAGUAUUGAGAAAUAUGAAGUGAAUGUCUUUCAUCAGAUCAGUGGGCAGCACUGGGAGGCCGGGCUGCCUGCGUUGGCGGUGUGGGCGAGGGAGACAUGGCCCUCAGCGCUCUGCGGGUAGGAGAGAACCUGUCCAGGCGAUUGAUCGAGGGCAGGUGAACAGGAGGAAGACAGGUUUGGGAGGUGCUUGGCUCUUUGCAGAAAAGCAAUGUGAACACACAGACCCCUGGGACAGUCGCAUUGGAAGCAGGAGGCGGGAACUGAGCAAAGUGUUUGAAUCCAACCAUGGAUUCCUUUACAGACCAGCAAAAGGACAUUUAAAAAUGGGAAGUAACCACAAAUCAAGAGCAUUCUGGAGCCUGAGGCAGGAGGAUCACCAGGAGUUCAAGACUGGGGCUACACUGAGUUCAAGGCCAGACUGAACUACCUGCAAGACCUUGUCUCAAAAAAAGCCAAAAACAAUAAAACACAAAUCAAAGCUGGGCAUGGUGGCUCACACCUGUAAUCCCAGCACUCGGGAGGCUGAGGCAGGAGGAUCAUUUUGAGUUCAAGACCAGCCUGGGCUAUAAAGUGAGCUCAAGAGCUGCCUGAACUGCCUAGACAGACCCUGUCUCAAAAAAAAAAAAAAAGACCCAAGACAAAAGCAAUGUUUCCUGAAUUCUGUCAUAGAGCCUGGGAACUUUCUAGGGAAGCUAUGCAGGGGUCCCCUGAAGUGACCCUCUUGGUUCUAUUUUCUGUAGCAAGCCUUUCCCAAAGGUUAGGUUUGAUGAGAAUGAAAAAAGAAAUGACCUCCUGAGGUGAAGAUUGGCAAGUAUGGGUUAACUGUACAGCUAAGCUCCCUGAGAAAGUUGGUUAUGACCUCAGCUGUAUAUGGGCACAACUAUAAUGUCAGUGAAGCAUAACAGACUUGGAAAGUUCCACCAGAACUGCCCCCAGCCCCUUGACCACUGUUCACUCCUUUAACCGCUGCUCUGCUUUUGUAACUCUGCUUUGUGCUGACCUCUAAUGAAAAUGAAAAAUCAUCCUGUGAGGAAGAAACGACAUACAAAUAGAAAUGAAGUUUUAUUCAGGGCCCUCAGCAGGACAGGAGUCCCCUGUGAAGACGCUGGCAGAUACAACUGCUCUUUGCUCCUAAAUUCUGGGUCCUGUUGGUUCUGUUGGGGAUGCUGUUCAUUUUCCUGCUUCAGGAGGAUCUGUGUGGGUUGGGGAUUUAGUGCAGUGGCAUAAGAGCCUGCCUGGCAAGCACAAGGUCAUGAGUUCAAUUUCUGGUACAAAAAAAAAAAAAAUAGGAUUUGUGAUGAAUGUUAGACAAUUGAGCCUUCACCCUAACUUGCUUUGUCUCAGAAAAAUAAAGUGCCGGCAUUGAAAUCCUGUGAUGCUCAGCAGCAGUGGAGAAGUUGGGGUGGUUGUACAGUGUUGGGGGUCCCUUGUAAUGUGGUCUAUCCUCAUACUGUCAGAGGACCAGAGCCAGCAGGGUGUGCAGAGGCUGUUGAGUAGGGGCCUAAGUAAAACUUCAGAGGUCUCUGUGUUCCUAUGGACAUGAAGGCUGCAGGAGGACCUGACAUCAUCCAGCAGGACAGGAGGUUGGUUCUGAGGCUCCUCUUGGCUAGGGACCCCCAGGCUCCCCAGCCUUGCCAUGUUAUGCCCAAUCAUUCUGCACCUCCUAUAAGCAUCUUACCUGUUUGUUUCUUUCCUGAGGGUCCCGAUUCUGUUUUUCCAUCAGAGAAUUGCAAGUCAGUGCCUGUACCAGUCCUACUAAACUACAGACUAUGGGAUGAGGCCUAGGCAUCUGUCUAGAAUGUUCCGCCAUGUAGUGCUUAUGCUGACUGGCUGGUAUUAGCAUUGCUGUUGCAUUCUGAUAUUUCUGCAGUAGAAUUAUAGUCAUGGUUUAUUAAACUACUGCUAUAGAUGAAAAGAGAAGUAGAGGGGAGAGUAUGUCUCAGAUAAAACUUGGACUGCUGAGUUAUUUUUAGACAGGGCGCCAAUGUAAUUUUUAGAGUUUAGUGUGUAUGCAUGAGGUGGCCAGGAGAGAGAGAUACAUACACUUAUGCAUAAAUUGUGGACAAACUAAUGAAGCUUUGCAUGGUAUAGAAGACAAAUUUUAAAGAAGAGAAAAUCUUAUUCCAGUAUAGUCAUGCAUGCUCUGUGGAGGGAGUAAAUUCUGCAAAAUAUGCCCUGGGGCAAGUUUGUCAUUUGGGGAACAAUAUGUAGGACUUCCACAAGUGGCCUAGUGACUGUGUCAUCAGGUGAUACAGUUACGAGGGAUUACCAUUGUAUAUGUGGUCUGUCAUGCAUUGAAAUACUAACUUGUCACACAUGACUGUAUUUGAAAGCAUAUUUACUAGGAUACAGAGACUAAAUGUCUGUUUUGUCAAAUAAGAAUCCAAACAACUCUGAUGUUGCAAUUGUAACUGAAGGUGAGCAAAGUUUCCUGGCCAUUGACCUUGUACUGUAAUGAUAGCUGCUUCCUCCCACAGCAAGGCCUUUCCUAUCUGUGAGGGUCUCCAAGGGGAUCCAGGGCCUGGAGGAAGCUGCCCAGUAAUUCACAGGAUAUUUGAAGCUCCCUGAAAUCCGAAGCUCCAGAACUGCAGGGAGCAUAAACAUUUACUUCCUGCAUGUUGCAUUCACUGACGUGAAAACCUCAUGCUUGGUGUGAGUAGAUGAGACACAGGUAGGGGAUAAGGGUACAGACAACCUUUACACACAGCACAAAUAACAGGCUCAUCAAUGGAUUGCAGCAAUGAAUCAAAAGUAAAUUUAGAGCCCAAGUGUGAAAGCUACCCAAAUGUCCCCCGAUAGACAAAUGGCUACAAAAAAUAUGGAGUCUGCCCAUGCACUGGGCUAUCGUUUCUCUCUUGAAAAGAAAGAAACAGACAUCUGCACCAGUGACAGAUCCUGAAGACAUCGCACUCACUGAAGUGAGACACACAAGGACAAAUGCAGUUUGGUCCACAUGACGGCAAGGCACAUGAGGGGCCCGAAGCUAUCCAUGCAUAGGGACACAAAGGAGAACAGUAGUCACCAGGGGCUGCAAGAGGGGACACAUGAGUCAGUGUUUCAUGUGGGUAGAGUCAGUUCAGGAUGAUGAAAAACUCUCAGACGUGGGUGGUGGCAGUGGCUGCACACGAAGGCAAACAGUUGUGUGCUACUUACGACAUCUCUGCCAACCAGCUCGGGACCACGUACAGGAGGGUAGUUGUAAGGGAUGGUGUCAUGCAGUGACAUCAUGACCUUGUCAAUUGGAUAGGGUCACUCUAUAAUGUGAGCAUAGUGACAAAAUCAACUUAUUACAGAAAGCUAAGUCAGAUUAAAAAUGAGCAGGCAGUCUUCAAGGGACCAGGCUCUCAAAGCAGUCAGUGCAACAUUGAGACACAUCAAAACUGUGGCUGGAGACGGGAAGAGAGCCAGGCCUGCAAGCCUCCCUAUAGACAGCAGCUUGAGAUCGUACUGUAAGCAUCACCACCUGGUCCAGUGAGCCUAGAUAAGGCGUCACAUGCACAGGUGUCCUAAUCCAGACUCCUAUCCCUUUGAACUGCCUUUGACCUUUCCAUGUUAGAAGUUAAAGAUAAGCUGAAGUUAGUGAUGCCCACCGUAUACCCUCACUUCGGGCCUUGCUUCCCUAUUGGAUUAACAGUAGCUACUAUAUUUGUAACCCCACAGGUUGGCCUCAGGCUUUCCCAGAAUGGUCUAAGAUGUGAUCAUUUUCACCUAUAAAGAACUCCAAAGUCCCUCAAUGGCACCCACUUUCAGGAACCCUCCUGUCACUCAGGAGCUUUCUCUCAACAAAUUUUUCCUACUUUUAACCUCCUUUGCCCUCAUAUCCAUUCUCUGAUUAUUGAGAGACACAAACUUGGCACAUCUGACACCUGACGGGUUGAGAGUCACUUGCCUGUGAAAGCUGACAAUAGCUUUUUCAGAACAUACCCCAUCAUGAAGAGUGCCUUAAGGCUCUCAACCCUAUACUUUAAAAUGAUACAAACUAACCAAGCAUGGUACGAAUACCUAUAAUCUCAGACCACAGGAGACCCUAUUUGAAAAACAAAACCAAACAAAUGAAACAAACUGCUACAAAUCAACUGGGAGUGGUGGCAUAGGCCUGUAAUCCCGGUGGGGAGGGGGCCGCAAAGGCCUAGACGGUCACCUUCUUUCUGCAUCACCCUCCCAUCUCAUCCCACCUCCACAGAAAAGAUCAUAUUCUGUAGAUUUUCCACUUAGUAUUUUCUAACCUGUGGUUUCAUACCUAUAGUACAAAAGUGUUUCAAAUUUCUAGGCCAAUGGUGAUACAGUUGCUCCGGCACUUGCAAUGUAUAGUAUCAAUCACUAGGGGGCUGGGGAUUUAGCUCAGCGGCAUAAGUGCCUGCCUUACUAGUAGGCAGUCGUGAGUUUGAUCCCUGGUACUGAUAAAAAUGAAAAAGACAAAAAAAAAAAAAAAAGUAUCAAUCACUAAUAGGAAUUUUGGGCUGGCUUUAGGUGACCCAUAGACUCAGGAUGGUAGGUACCAGUGGAAGUAUAUGUCCAGAUGUCCUUAACUAAAGGAAGAUGAAAAGGAAGCCGGUCCUCAGUGGAACCUUCAGUAGGCUGCUUGGUAAGGAGACAACUCACCUGCCACCCAGCUCUUAAGGAACACUGGAAACUUCUGGUCACUUCCUUCACUGUUGAAGAGAGCCUGCUAUGAGCCCUGAGCUCACCAUUCCUGGAGGACUCCAGUGCAAUCCCUCUCCAGAGACAUGCAGAUCGCAAACCUUGGUUCCACCAAGCCCCCUGACAUCCAGCAAUUACUGACUCACCUGAAUUGGAAAUGGUAACAGCACCUGAGGGGCCACAGGAUUAUAGUUACACCAAGGUGUGAUCAUCACAAGAAAAAGUGACCCAGAUGCCUUCUGACUGCUGAGGUGAGGCAUUCAUACUCUGAGGUCCAAACCAGGCAGAGUUGCUGCUACCCAGGUCCUCCCUCAAUUGCUGCUUUGGGACUUUCAGGACUGAGGCCCUCUCCUCUGCCUGGUGACCAUUCUUCUUCCUCUUCCCAUUCACUUCCCAGAAUCUUCUCUGUGGCAGGCACAGUUCUGUUCCCUAAUUUUCUUCCUCCCAGGGACUCCCUUGCCAGGUCACAACUUAACACUGAGCGCUCUUCACAGAGGAUCUAGUCAUCAAGAGUUUCUUGGGCUGGUACAUGAACGUGGGGGCCUCUGACAUAGUGAGGUCCUUCUCCCCUGAGCUGGGCUCUUUGUGGCACUGUCCAGGGCGCAAAGGGUCCCAGCCCUACAGUUACUCCUAUGUCCCUGCUAGGAACUGCCACCUCACCUCCUCCCCCCACCAAAAAAAAAACCCUCCAGACCCUUUAGGACUCAGGGUCAUCUUCUUUCUGGGCCUUGGCUGGGCCUGCCAGGGUCCUCAGUGAACUGAACACAGAUGACAGUCUCCCUGCAUAUGGUCUCUCUGGCUGAGGCUGCAUGAAGCAUCUGAUCCUGCCUCUGAGUUUUCAGGGAACCUGUUUUCUCUAACUUUAAAGACCCCAUUCUGAUCCAAGUGACCUCAAUGCCUAGUCUCAAUUAGAUCCUUGGAAGAGCCAUCUGAGGAGAAGGGAGUCUGUGAGCCUGGGCUGGCAGGGACACGCUAGAUUGGCACAGAUGGGAAUGGGAGAGACCAGGGAUGGGUGACAAGGAAGACUGGCUGGACACGAGGGUGGUGUCAUUGCAGGUCUUCAUUCACUCUGGAGUUGCUUCCCUUUCCAGAUCCAACCUUACGCUCUUGUGCGCUGGGUGUGGGACGGAGAUCGCACCCUCAUUCCCAGGACCCUGGAACCCUGAGGACAAUGACCUCAAGGUGUGUGUGCGUGUGUCCCAGAGUUCAGACAGCAUUGCUGUGGUAUAUCUAGAGAAUGCAGGGAGGCUAGGGGAGGCUCCUCUCAUCACCCUCCCACCCUGUCCACUGUCCACACAUCAGGAACCAGCCCAGGCCGGCCCAAGGUUGGCCUCUCCCUGUUCCCCUCACAGCCAACCAAACUGACAAGCAGACAACACAAGGUGUGACAACUUUGGAGUGUUGUCUUGGGUGCUAGGACACUGCACAGACUUCACACACACAAUCUCAGAGGGAUUGUAGGGAUUAUUUAAUUCAGAGCAAUGGAGUCCAAAUGACACUGCAGAUUAAAUGCUGAUUUCUGUCCCCAGUGAAUACCCACUAGACAUAAACUUCUAUUUCUCCUUCUAAAAGUUGUUUCUAGGGGCCAGGGAUUUGGCUUAGUGGUGUAAGUGCCUGCCUGACAAGUGCAAGGUUGUGAGUUCGAUCCCUGGUACCAAAAGAGAAAAAAAGAAAUAAAAGUUGUUUCUGUUUGU